RNAcentral lists this long non-coding RNA (4295 nucleotides) under Homo sapiens (human). RNAcentral describes it as "non-protein coding lnc-ZNF704-7:7". The stretch from base 2820 to 2914 matches the Rfam family "Y RNA". The record is from RNAcentral. Lineage: Eukaryota; Metazoa; Chordata; Mammalia; Primates; Hominidae.
ACAGUCUCUCCUUCGCCAGCUCCCACACCGCUGCCCUCCACUUCGUCCCCGCCAUCGCCGCCCGACCGCCUGCUGCUGCUGCAGCUGCCGCCUUCCGCCCCGCUGCCGUCGCCCAGGCUCGCCCCCUCCUCCUCGUCCUCGGUGCUGUCGCUCAGGGACGCGCCGUCCUGCAUCAACUCCUUCCCCUCCAGCGCGUCCAGCUCCAGAUCCACAGUCGCCGGCCCUCGCCCAUUGAAAUGCCUCAAGGGCCACACCGAGGUCUCGGGGCGGCCGCGGCUACUGCCAUUGUUGCCGAGACCCCCGCCGCCGCCGCCUCGGAAGGCCAGAGUCCGACGGUUCCUUUCCGCUAGCAGGGGGCCCCCCGCGCCACCGCCAAGCGAGGUGGGGCCGCCCGCGUCUUGGGGGAGCAGCAACUCCUUGGCUUCCUCGGCGGCGCCGGCGGCCGGCCCGGCGGAGGCCUCCAGGUCUUGGGGCUCCAGGCCCUCCAAUUCCACUUCCUCGUCGGCCCCCCGCCCAUUAGGCGGCUGAAGCGCGGGCGGCGCUGGCGGCGGGGGCUGUCUCGGCUGGGGCUGCGGAGGCCAAGCUGAGGCCUCCCCGCCAGCGUUAUUGUUCGUGGAGCCGCCGCCGCUAGCGGUGACCAACCCGCCUCCUCGGAACGCCAGCGUCCUGCGGUUCAUUUCACUGAACGACAUGGCGCGCGCCGCCGCCGCCGCCGCCCGGUGCCCCGGCUCGCGCACGGCCUCGGGCCGCGUCCCGCGCGCUCCCCGCGGCUCCCCCUCUGUCUCGCCCCCGCCCCCGGCGUUCCGGUCUCGCGGGGCUCGGCCUCGCCCUCUCGCCCGGCAGCCCGGCUCGCGCUCGCUCCCGGGUCUGCUGCACGCGUCCGCUGCCGCUGCCGCUGCCGGGCCGACGCCUCCGACCGCUCUCUCGUCCUCCACCCCCGCCCCGCCGCGCUCCGGGCAGCGUCCCGCGCGGAGAAGGGGGCGGGCGGCGGAGAGGUGAGGAGCGAGCCUGCAGCGAGCGAGGCCUUCGAAGUUGAGCAGCGGAGUGCGGGGAGACCCUCCGCUGCCCCCUCUUUAAAGCCGCGCGCGCACACACCGAUCCUCCACACAGAUAUCCUUCCUCCGCGCGCCGAGGAGUCCCGACGCCGCCGCCGGCUUCGCAGGCGCUGAGGGUGAGAGGCACGCUAAACUGCUCGGCUCCGCCACAUAACGAAGCGACAAUAAAGCCGGCGGAGCGUUUCCGUCCGACCAGGCCCUGGCGGAGGUCGAAUGGCAAAUGAACAACGGACCGUGCGCCCACAAUGCACCGGGGUAGCAGUAACCGCUGGAGGGGGAAAGGGUGGGGGCCGGGCUGGGGGAGGGGGGCUGGGCUUGGGGCUGGGCUGGGGUGGGGUGGGGGCGCCAGGGGACCGGGAAAGGGGCUGGGCUGCGCCUCCGGCCUGGGGGCGGGGGUGCGGCCGCGGGGAAGGAAGUCGGCCGAGGGGUUGGGGACAAAAGGCCGGGCGGCGGGCUGGGGGUCUCAGGGAGGGGGCGGGCGUGUGCGGCCGGGGCCGGGCUACGCGGAGGACAAACAGCUGGCGAGUGUCAGGGUCUGGCCGCCUCCCCGCUGCCCACACGCACCUACCCGCGCCCGGGACGCGCAUUUUCCUUCUCUCGCCACGAGUUCACCUGGGACUUUGCAAAUAACUGUGCGGUGGGAGCUGCGCUCCAGCCUUGUCAUUUGCUGAGGGUGGGUGGCGGUGCCCAAGGAAGUGAACUUAUUUUGUUCCUUCACAAAGACUGGACCAGGCGGUGCCUUUCACGCGAAGAGGUUACGACCACGGACACAACCUCCUUUGAUGCAUUGUGCGAGGCAGCACCUCGGGCCCCGGACAGUAGUCAUUUCACAGAAAAUGCACCGCCCCGAGUGUCUUAUUGCUGUGAUGAAAUGGAAAUUUAAAUAAAAGGUCGAACACGUGCGUUCACUGGGAAGUAUUGACAUGGGUGUUACAUCACCAGCAGCCAAUCAGAUAACUCCAGUCGUGUUUAUACUUCUACAACCACCUUGUGAGUAUUACAGUAUGUCAUAACGUUAUAAAUAUUAGGCAGGGUUUUCCCCAGGAGCGGGGAGGAGUCUGCUUCUACGGACGUUGUGAGCGGCUCCGAAGAUUGUGUGUUUAAAGUCAACAAUUCAUUUUUAAGACUUUUUUCGAACUGUUUACAUUACAUGGACUUUAGAUUGAUUCUGACAGAAUGAACUGGAAAUGAAAUCCCACAGUUAUGAUCGUAGUAGAGUUUUUUUUUCCAAUUUAGGGCCCUUAUACUCCUUUUAAAAAUUUUUAAUAUGCUAAAUUUAGCAAAUACUAAAGUGUUAAGACUCAUCUGACAAUGUGAGAAUUUAAGCCUAUUUCAGGUUAAGAAAAAAAAGAUGUUUUCAAGUUAUGGAGGGGCUUUUUACUCUUAAGCGACAUAUGUAUUAGAAGUUGAAUCACGAACUGAUAAAAUGCUCCAGAUAAUUGUUGACUAAAAAAAAUACGGCAGGACAAAUUUUUUACAUUAAUACAUAUGUGCAGAAAAUGAGAAAUAUACAUGAACUCUUUACAGUUAUAGAUUAAUGGGAAGGGUUAUGUUAAAGGCUUGAACCUCCUAAAUAAUGUAUUAAUGUAAAUAAAGUUAUAUAUGUUUUAUGAAGAACAGGUGUUACAAUUUUUAGACCUAGUUUUAUGAUUCUUAUUCUCUUCAAAAGUUCUUUUUCUAUUUCAAAACUAAGAGCAAUAUGUAAAGCUUUGUAUAAUAUGGAAUAUGGUAUGUAUUUCAAGGUUACUUUAAAAAGCAAGCUUUGGCUGGUCCCAAGGUAGUGAAUUGUCUCAAUUGGUUAUUCACAGUUGGUUGCCCGUUGUACCACUCUUUCCCCACUUCCACUUGACUAGUCUUUUAAAAAUAAAUAAAUAUUUAAAUAAACAAGUCUUCUCAAACAUUAUAAAAGACCGUUUUUCUUAAUAUUUUUUAAAUGGACUAACAUGAAUCCACAUCCAGACUCAUAUUAAUUGUAUACAUUUAUUCAAAGCAACAUUCACUUCAUUCAUUGUAAUUUUUAGUACCUGUUGAUGAGCAGUGUUGUAUAUCAAACAAAAAACAUUGGUUUUAUCUUGUAGAUUACAUGUAAUUUUAAUGUAAAGAAUGACAGUACUACCCUGCCACAAAAGGAUUUUGGCUUUGAGUUAUUUUUCCGGUAAUAAACAUAUUGUCACCUGGCCACCAGUGACCAAGAGCUUGAAAUUCUGAUAUAGUUCUUCAGGUGGGUACAGUUGUAGGGUGUUUUUGUUUGUUUGUUUGUUUGUUUUGUCCUGCUUUGUUUUAGUUGCUGGGAAGCUUAAGACAGUGGAGUCUGAUCUUGACCUAAUUCGUACCCUUAAGAAAUAAGAGAACUCUGCCAAGUGAGGCUGUAUAAUAUGUGCCACAUAUGGAAGAAUGCCAUAAUAAUACUUGUGCUCUGUUUUUAAUGCGUGUUUUUUUUUCAUUCUAGGCAUUUUGAAAAUAAAUACAUUUAUUAUAUGUUAAUCACCACAGCCUCCACCCCCAUAAAAAGAGGGAAGAGUUACUGAAGUUAAUUACUUAUCUAGGAUCAAGGUGAUGGGAAAUGAAAAUGGACUUAAAAAUUUUUAUUUUGCUGGGCACGGUGGCUCACGCCUGUAAUCCCAGCACUUUGGGGGCCGAGACGGGCGGAUCAUGAGGUCUGGAGUUCAAGACCAGCCUGACCAACAUGGUGAAACCCCGUCUCUACUAAAAAUUCAAAAAAUUAGCCAGGUGUGGUGGCGCUCGCCUAUAAUCCCAGCUACUCAGGAGGCUGAGGUAGAAGAAUCACUUGAACCAGAGAGGCGGAGGUUGCAGUGAGCUGAGAUCAUGCCAUUGCACUCCAGCCUGGGCGACAGAGCGAGAUUCCAUCUGAAAAAAAAAAAAAUUUUAUUUCAGCUCUAAAGCUUGUUUUCAUUCAAAAACUGUUAAAUUCAAAUAUUUGCUACUUCUUAUCUCGUAUCCUACUACAUAGUAGGCACUAUAUAAAUUUAUGUAUUAUUUUUGCUAAUAGUGCCAGAAUCAACCAAAAACGUUUAAAUCCAUAAUUGUGUCAGACCUGCCUUUUUCUCAGACAUAUAUCUUACCUUAUGUUUUAUAAAAUCCUCAUUGUCUUCUAUCUGAAGUUAUGUUUAAACAUGGACUAAUUAGGAAUGAAUGACACUAGAGUCAAGUGGUACAAAUAAAUGACUUAAAUUCUAGGACCACUGAACUAACAGUAUCAGGGUGAUGUGUGUGUGUUUG